Molecule: non-coding RNA, 2277 nt
Organism: Triticum urartu
Lineage: Eukaryota; Viridiplantae; Streptophyta; Magnoliopsida; Poales; Poaceae
Source: RefSeq, a predicted model, not a curated record
CUGCCACUUUUUGUCCUCCGCGUCCUGGUCCUCGCGUGCGACACCCUGAAUUUCCGGAUCGACAAGGACCGAUCGAUUUUUCCCCUUCCUCCUGUGCCGCUCGCGUGGGCGGCUCUGAAGGCGCUAACCCUAGCCCCGUGAGUGCCUCCCUCCCCGAGCUCCCCUGGCUGUCGACGCCGGCGGCGGUGGCGGCGCCCGGCCGUCGUAGGCGGCGGGCGAAGUCGGUGCGCCCCGACGGGCCUCCCACGCGCGGGGGAGUGGCGUCAUGCGGGCGACGCGGUGGUCUCUCCGGUGUGGAGGCGGGUGGCGCGGCGGGCGGUGAGGUGCGCACAGGGAGGCGGAGCACGGCCGCGGGAUUGUGGAUGAGGUGCUGGUGUGCGGCGCUUCUCCUGAGAGCGCCUGGCGGUUGUCGGAGGGGGCGGCGCGCCCGGGCAUCGAGGCGGCUGAUCUCGACCAGGUGGGCUGCACAAGCGGCGGUCGGCAGCGGGCUCAGAUUGCGUCGGCGGCGGCGGGGUCUAUCUUCUCCGUCGAUCAGCGACGGCGUGGGACACCCCGGGCUCGGCCGUGAAGAUGGAUUUCUCCGGCUAGGCAAUCGACUCCGCAAAUCUGUUCCUCGAACUCGCACCAGGGAUGCAUAAUGCCCCUGCGCCCGUUCCUACAGGGAGGCACACUGGUUGAACCACUGAAAGGGAGCACAUAAAGCUGCAGAGGCAACAACUCCAAAGGAAUCAGUGUGAUUGCUGUAAUUUGAGAAGGCACUGAUAUAACACUGAUAUUACUGAAGAAAUCAUUUCUGCAACACUCGAUCUUGAGUCUGCACUUGCUAACAGAGAUGCACCCAAAACACGAUACUCCUGAUUGUUUGAUUGGUAACAAUCCUCUCGCAGAAAACUCUAAUUAGAUUCCUUUUACUUUCCAAAUCUUGACAUUUUGCAUUUUAAUUAUUAGCCUAUAUGCACGGUAUCAUAGAAAAUUAUUGCUAAUGUCUACAUUGGAAAGGAUCCAAACUAUAAACAAGUAACUGGUGAUGUUAUCCACUAGGGCUUUCUUUCACAACUCACUGCCGAUGUUGUUAAUUUAUCUUGCAUCUCCGCCUCCUUGGCAUUAUCCUUUUUGUAGUUAAGCAUGAACAUGAUUUAGAUGCUCAUAUUCAGGUAGCAUUCUUGGGUGAGUUAUUGAUUUUUGUUUCAGUGCGAGACAAUUUUUUAAUAUUAUUAUUUUGCUCCUCAUUUUGUCUAGGUAGCAUAGGAUUAUACCACCGAUAAUUCUUAUUAGGAUUUGCUGCACAACAAGCAUGGUGCACGCACAUGCCUGCAUAUUUGUCAAUAUUCUAUCAGAAGCAGUUUGCUGCGCACUUAAGUGUAACAGAAGGUGUGCUACUGUUUCCACAUCUCCUUGUGCGAAUCACUAAUAUUUUUUUCCAAGUCUUUUCUUCCUUUUUGUAAUGACCCUGAAAUAGUUUCAGCAUUGGAGUCAGUUUCUUCGUUGUCUUCAGUGUUCUUAUGGCGAAGGAAGUCCCCGGUUUGUAUAGGCGAUUGUGUGCACAUGAAUAUUUUUCAUAAUAUACAAUUAAAUUUUAUAGUAAACACUUCUAUGAUGGUGAAGUUUUUUCUGGAUCUGACCAAGAUGAACAAUGUAACCUGGGACAAUACUUUGUAUCAUAGGAAAUUUUCCAAGUCUUCAGUGUUCUUAUCUUCGACAUAUUCAGUGUUCUUUCCUUCAGGAUCCCUGUAAUUUUUUUUCAGCAUGACUUAGCACAGUUAACUGAAGAUGUUCCGUCAUCUAAACAUGCUAAUGGCCAAGCAAAUAUUCAGGUAUACCGGAAACCUCUGUAGCUAUACAAAUAUAACUUGGUAGCACACUUUACUGUAGUAAGAUGUUUAUAUGCAAAAGUAUUAAAAACUGAUAUACCAAGACUACCGUGAGUCAUGCAUGUCCGUGCCUUCCAGGUGAUGUGCCCAACAUUCUUCUGCACAAGAAUGGCUAUGGGAGCUGAGCGUGAACCAUAUAUAUCACUUUGAUUAAAGUUGGGUAAUUUGAGGCUGGAGCCGAGUCGUGUUUGGUCACACAUUGGAGCUGUUCUUGUGAACUUGGGUGAUGAGCGGGUGGCAUUUGUACCUAAAGGGAUGACCAAAUACUGCAGAGGAACAUUUUAAUCGAUGAUGGGAAAUCAUGGUGGUUUAUGAUCCUUGCAAGCGUAUGAGAAUAUCUUUGCCACAUCACAGGACAAACAAUUUGAAAGAGAGUUGUAGUGAAAGUUGGCUAUCAUGAUGUGAA